CCCAUGGUGAGAGCGAUAUGGGCGUCAUUAGGAGCCCUUAUCUUGAACUGGACGGAACCGCUGGAUACCGGGAAAAAUUGGUAUUGGAGAUUAUCGUCCGUAGACACAUCUGUAACAAAUAUACGAUUUUCUUAUUUUAAUAUAGUAGGUAG
Maniola jurtina (meadow brown) is the source of this 152-nucleotide long non-coding RNA. RefSeq lists it as uncharacterized. The record is from RefSeq and is a predicted model, not a curated record. NCBI's taxonomy places the organism in Eukaryota, Metazoa, Arthropoda, Insecta, Lepidoptera, Nymphalidae. The transcript has 3 exons.